CGGAGGUUCGAGCCCCGCUUUCACAAAAAGCCAGGUAGAAGUUCUGGACCUAAAAGCAUAAAUUAAAACUUCAAAAAUCUGAUAAAGAAAACGGAAGCAUAAUUGGCACCUAUAUAUACAAGUCUCGAGGUGACGACAUGGAACACCGAAUCAAGUAUCAAGAAGACUACGGUUGGCACCAUAACCCACGUACGCUUCUUUGGUGUUCAGGAAGAGUCUGGCGGCGAGGCACGGGAGCAAACGGCGACAAUUAUAACAAAAUCACUUGAAGAAAAACCACAGCUACCCUCCACGAGACCGAAACGUGCUCGUUGUGUUGGACCAGUCGAAGCUUCUCGCCCUCAAGGAAUCGUGGCAAGGUUCGGAAAGUUCAGUGAUCGCGAGGCAGUUGAAAGAAUCUGGAAUAUUCAUCGACGAAGACCUGUGUCCAGCAUCGCAGGCAAUAAAUAAAAAUCAACUACCUCAGCUGAAACAAGCGAGAUUGGAUGGAAUAAUCUCCUUUUUCAAGUACACUAAGCUCAUCAUAAGAGAGAGAAGUGCUCAACAACCCAGCAACCCUGACACAAACCACCCGUGGUGGCGCUGGUGAUGCAGCUUCACCUGGGGCUGCUGGAGGUGCGACGUUCAGUGGUGUGCAGGCCAGCAGUGUUGGUGCUGGCUCCUCCUCCGGAUCACCGAGAGCGGGGGUGCUGGUGAACCCGAGGCCGGGCCAGCUGACGGCGCAGUUACUACUCGUCUGGGAGCCGCCAGUGGUGCCGCACAGGGGAAUGAGACUCCUGAUGGUACGCAAGGGCUGAGCAGUGGGCGGACAAGGUCAAGCGAGGCAGAUCACUCCCAACGUCAACAGAAAAAAGAACUACACGACCGUAAGAAGAACUAGAUCCCCUAGAGGGAGGCAGUGACUGAGUGGUCAACAUGCAGGCAGACCCGUCCUGGAGGACUCCGGAUCAAGCUGACAAUUUUCAGUCGUAGCCGAGUGGUCUAAGACUACCCACAUGGUGUCCAGAAGACCACCUAACAGCCAGGACUGUAGGUUGAGGGGGGCAGUUGGUCAUGAAAUGGUGAAAAACGUGAUUUCUGGAAAAAAUUCAGCCACCCUUGUAUUGCCUUUGAGAAUGUAAAUACGAAGUAUUUCAUCAAAAUUCGUAAUAGUUUCACUUUUAAGGGCGUGUAAUGGACCCCACUGCCUCAAGUGUGACCUCAUGAUGCAUAUCGGUCAUUGUGUAUUGCCAUUAUUUCCGAGAACCUACAUAGAAUAACAGUAAUAAAAGUGAUAUCUAGCA
Molecule: long non-coding RNA, 1283 nt
Organism: Eriocheir sinensis (Chinese mitten crab)
Lineage: Eukaryota; Metazoa; Arthropoda; Malacostraca; Decapoda; Varunidae
Exons: 2
Source: RefSeq, a predicted model, not a curated record